RNAcentral lists this long non-coding RNA (1508 nucleotides) under Theobroma cacao (cacao). RNAcentral describes it as "long non-coding RNA (TCAC_LNC004645)". Lineage: Eukaryota; Viridiplantae; Streptophyta; Magnoliopsida; Malvales; Malvaceae. The record is from RNAcentral.
AAAAGAUUUGGCUCGUGCCAAAAUCAUUCUCAUACUUAGUUAUCAGGGAUACCUUGGCCGCGGGCUAUCCCAAACCGAGUCCGCCAAGGCUAUAAAAAAGUUAUGUACUCCUAAAUCAUGUUUUUUAUUUUUAAAAUAUAGUUGUUCUUUGGCAUUGGCUAAGUUCGCCUUCACGUGGUGGUUUGGCGUGAAGUGAACUCUAAAAGUUAUACCUCAGGAGUUGCCCUACUCGCCUCUCCAACCGAGGUAAGAAUAUGACCAGGUUCAGUGCCCCUUUAAUCGACUAGUCCACAAAACCAGCCCACUGCAGCAAGCUAAACCUACCAUACAAUAAAAUUUGCAACAACAUGAUAUGACAAUUUUAUCAUUAUCCAGCCUAUCAAGGCAAACAAUAGUUUAUACAUUUCAACACAAAUACCAAUUUAGCCAUUCAUGCCAAUAUUGUCAUAAGCCAAUCAAUUAGAACCAUAAAUUCACAAUACAUCAAAUGGUCUCCAAUUACUCUAUUUGAAAAGCCAUUAUUCAAUUUUAAAAUAAUUUUAUGAAAUCAUUUCACUAAAUCACAUUUUGUUUAUAAAAUCGAAAGAUUAAUCAUUUAAUUCAUUUUCCAUGAAAUUCACAAAAUCGGAUAAAAAUCACUUUAGAUAAUUAAGACGAUAGUAAGGUUACUCACAAUACUAGGAGUUCGAUAUACUCCUAUUCCCGAUCUUCGGGCACAAUCUCUUUACCCUUGUUAGAGGGCUCACCACUUAUACAUCAUACGUGACACGAAUUUUAAUAAAUUGUGUCAAUGUAUCAUAAACUAUUUCAGGCUCUAUAAAUCUAUAUGAAUGAAGGAAAUGUGAUGCAAAAUGUCCGAAUAGCCGUUUAAAUACGAUAUUCGACCUAAUUCGCACUAUUCUCAGUGUAAUUAGCUAAAACCUCCAAUUUAACUCUAAAUCGAUUUCUUUCACUUUCUACACUCCAAUUAUACUUAAAAUACCUCAAUGAUUGUGAAUAUGAUUCAAUUUAUCAGUCCAAACCAUAAAUCGCACAUGUCUAUACAUUAGGUAAAAAUUCAUAUUUUCAUGCCAAAAUUUCCCAUUAAAUUUCUAGCCUCACCAAUCAUUAAAUACCACCAAAAUAUCAUGAAAUAUCAUCAAUUUCAGCCUUAAUAUUCUCCCUAGAAAAUUUGGCCUCUUGUGGGUUUGUGAAGAACAAAGUGAUUCCUUGCUAGAUUUUCAUACUUUCCAUUACCAAACAACCAAAAACACUUAAUUAGCUUGAAAUCUAGCAAAAUCAAUGCUCAAAACCUCUCCUCUCAAAUUCGGCCAGCAUGGGUUCAUCAUGCAAACUUGAGUUCUAAGCAUGAAAAAUGAAAAAGAAAGCAUGGGUAGUGUAAAUCACAAGAUCAAAUCACAAAAUUUUACCUUUAUUAGCUUAAUCCCUUGAAAUCCCACACUUUUUCUUCAAUUUUCCCACCUAGGGUUUCUGUUCUCUCCUUUCCUCUUCCUUUGUUCUUCUUUUGC